Molecule: ribosomal RNA, 403 nt
Filed under: uncultured bacterium
Lineage: Bacteria
Description: bacterial SSU rRNA
Rfam family: Bacterial small subunit ribosomal RNA
Source: RNAcentral
UAGGGAAUAUUGCAAAAUGGGCGAAAGCCCGAUGCAGCAACGCCGCGUGGGCGAUGAAGGCCUUCGGGUCGUUAAGCCCUUUUUGAGGGGAUGAGGAAGGACAGUACCCUCAGAAUAAGCCUCGGCUAACUACGUGCCAGCAGCCGCGGUAAUACGUAGGGGGCAAGCGUUGUCCGGAUUUACUGGGUGUAAAGGGCGCGCAGGCGGGAUAAAAAGUCAGUGGUGAAAUCCUACAGCUUAACUGUAGAACUGCCUUUGAUACUUUUAUUCUUGAGUUCGGGAGAGAGAGACGGAAUUCCAGGUGUAGUGGUGAAAUACGUAGAUAUCUGGAAGAACACCAGUUGCGAAGGCGGUCUCUUGGUCCGACACUGACGCUGAGGCGCGAAAGCGUGGGGAGCAAACA